Long non-coding RNA from Arachis ipaensis, 581 nucleotides. RefSeq lists it as uncharacterized. The record is from RefSeq and is a predicted model, not a curated record. NCBI's taxonomy places the organism in Eukaryota, Viridiplantae, Streptophyta, Magnoliopsida, Fabales, Fabaceae.
AAGUCUCCCACCCAGCCACCGAUUCAAGUGCAUAUGGAGCCCGAGCCAUCUAUUCAGUUUGACGUCAGUUCAAGUGAGAAUAUGGGCGACACUGGAUUGCCUCCAGUUCCUAUUCCGAAUGAAUCAACAAGCAUCAGAUCUCCGACAUUAUGUAUUUUCAAUCUUAUGAUUUUGGCUAUUGUGUAUUUUGGCUUGUUGAUUUCAAUCUUAUGACAUUGCAUAAUAGUAUGGUAGAAUUUUUUUUAUUUGAUUGAAAAAACCGAACAAACCGAACCAAACCAAACCGAUUUUAAUUGGUUUGGUUUGGUUCGGAUGACCUUGAAAAAAAAACCGAACCAAACCGAACCGCAGCUUAAUUAAACGAUCGGAUCGGAUGACUUUUCCUUCAAAAACCGAACCAAACCGCACCGCGAACACCCCUAUUGGAUAUGUCUCAUCAUCUUAGCAACACGCAUGAUGCGUAUUGAACAUGUGUCAAUAUUCUGACCAAUACGCAAGAUGUUUGAUAAACACUUUUUUUGCAUAUUCACAGUAUUGUAAUACACUUUAAAUAUCAAUAUUCAACCAAAAUAUCAUCUUUA